This 224-nucleotide long non-coding RNA is filed under the name Cicer arietinum (chickpea). RNAcentral's name for it is "long non-coding RNA (CARI_LNC002828)". Lineage: Eukaryota; Viridiplantae; Streptophyta; Magnoliopsida; Fabales; Fabaceae. The record is from RNAcentral.
AAAUGGAGAGGAGUUGCGAAAUAUGUACUUGUGGACUAGGACUAGUACAACUCAACCUGGUAGAGAACAAGUGUAUAUGUCUUAACAGGCUUUACGCUUGGUGGACUAUGGACUAAUACAUACCGACUUGAUGAAGAACAAAUGUCUACGCAUUAACAGAGUUAAUGAAUCAUCUAUAUCUCAACAAGUUUGACGCUUUGUGGAUUAUGGACUGAUAUUUGUCG